RNAcentral lists this ribosomal RNA (908 nucleotides) under uncultured Bacillota bacterium. RNAcentral's name for it is "bacterial SSU rRNA". It matches the Rfam family "Bacterial small subunit ribosomal RNA", at positions 1 to 917 of the family's 1533-position model. Lineage: Bacteria; Bacillati; Bacillota. The record is from RNAcentral.
UGGAUCCAGACUUUGAUUCUGGCUCAGGAUAAACGCUGGCGGCGCACAUAAGACAUGCAAGUCGAACGAACUUAAUAUCUUGCUUGCAAGAUAAGCGGUUAGUGGCGGACUGGUGAGUAACACGUAAGAAAUCUGCCUAUCAGAGGGGAAUAACAGUGAGAAAUCACUGCUAGUACCGCAUAUGCCAUAGGAGUCGCAUGACUCUAGUGGGAAAGGAGCAAUCCGCUGAUAGAUGAGCUUGCGUCUGAUUAGCUAGUUGGUGGGGUAAAGGCCUACCAAGGCGACGAUCAGUAGCCGGACUGAGAGGUUGAACGGCCACAUUGGGACUGAGAUACGGCCCAGACUCCUACGGGAGGCAGCAGUCGGGAAUAUUGCGCAAUGGAGGAAACUCUGACGCAGUGACGCCGCGUAUAGGAAGAAGGUUUUCGGAUUGUAAACUAUUGUCCACAGGGAAGAAAAAAGACUGUACCUGUGAAGAAAGCUCCGGCUAACUACGUGCCAGCAGCCGCGGUAAUACGUAGGGAGCAAGCGUUAUCCGGAAUUAUUGGGUGUAAAGGGUGCGUAGACGGGAUAACAAGUUGGUUGUGAAACCCCUCGGCUCAACUGAGGAACUGCAACCAAAACUAUUAUUCUUGAGUGCAGGAGAGGAAAGUGGAAUUCCUAGUGUAGCGGUGAAAUGCGUAGAUAUUAGGAAGAACACCGGUGGCGAAGGCGACUUUCUGGACUGUAACUGACGUUGAGGCACGAAAGUGUGGGGAGCAAACAGGAUUAGAUACCCUGGUAGUCCACACUGUAAACGAUGGAUACUAGGUGUAGGAGAUAUUAAGUCUUCUGUGCCGUCGCAAACGCAGUAAGUAUCCCACCUGGGGGGUACGACCGCAAGGUUGCAACUCAAAUGAAUUGACGGA